UACAGAGGUGGCAAGCGUUGUUCGGAAUCACUGGGCGUAAAGGGCGCGUAGGCGGAUUGCUAAGUCAGGGGUGAAAUCCUGGAGCUCAACUCCAGAACUGCCUUUGAUACUGGCGAUCUCGAGUCCGGGAGAGGUGAGUGGAACUGCGAGUGUAGAGGUGAAAUUCGUAGAUAUUCGCAAGAACACCAGUGGCGAAGGCGGCUCACUGGCCCGGUACUGACGCUGAGGUGCGAAAGCGUGGGGAGCAAACAGG
Molecule: ribosomal RNA, 253 nt
Filed under: uncultured bacterium
Lineage: Bacteria
Description: partial 16S ribosomal RNA
Rfam family: Bacterial small subunit ribosomal RNA
Source: RNAcentral